GACAUGGGUUGCAGCCAAGAGCAACAGAUUCGGCAGUGAUAUCCCUGGGUAUGGAGCUCAGGCACUGCAUCUGUACCAAGGAUGCACAAGUGGCCAUUGAGCUGUAGCUCUCUAAGUCCUCCACAAGGCUCGGGAGACAUGGGAUGCUUCACUGGCGGCUUGAUAAGAGGGAAAUGCUGCUUUCCUGUGAGUGAGUGAAGGCUCCCAUGGCUGCUGGGAAGGAAGGUGGUAGCCUGCCAGCAUUGCACCCUACAGCUUGGUGCCACUGGUGAGGAGCUGCUCCUACGGAGUUGAGAACACACAGGCAUACACUGGAUCCUGACUUUGUUUCAACUGGAAAACAUAUUUGAAUAUAGACUUUUCUUU
This is a long non-coding RNA of Lagopus muta (rock ptarmigan), 366 nucleotides long. RefSeq lists it as uncharacterized. The record is from RefSeq and is a predicted model, not a curated record. The transcript has 2 exons. Lineage: Eukaryota; Metazoa; Chordata; Aves; Galliformes; Phasianidae.